CUGGUUAGAAAUGGUGUCAGUAAAAUCACCUCCAAAAUACAAGACACGAAGUCGACAUCUGGUGAGGUUCUGAAAGGCAAGUCCACACACAAAGAUGGGAAUGGUGGUGCUGUCUGUGAGGUCGAACAACCUGCACGGAACCGGGCCAUUCUUGCUGAGCAGAUAGUGAAAAAUGAAAAAGUAGUUACAGAUACCACAAGGGCACCGGUUGCAGUGGCUUCAUCUAAAUUUGCCCCCGGCCUCUACAAAGGUAAAAUUGUGGAGUCAAAAAUUGGAUCACUUUGGAAGUCAAGUGCGACAGCUCGAGGGGCGGGGUCAAAACCAGCACCACCCAAAACGGAGAGCCAAAAGGUUGUGAAUUUGACAAAAAGCAGGUCAAAGUCUGUUGCUGAUGUCCCUGGACGCAACCUCCAAAAAUCUGCCCCAACGACGUCUAAAUCGCUGUUGGAUGGACGCGCGCAAGCAUCCAAACCUGGACCUAGUGGCCGUCUUCCAGGGCCUCGCUCUGCCCGCCCUCCGACCUCCUCUACUGUCCCGGCAACAUUAAGACCCACCAGCUCCAGAAACACAACAGCGGCACCCACCAAGCCAAAGGUUGCCAUAACUGAUAAGAAGGUCAAGAAGCCUCCUGUCACAAGCACCCUCAGCCAGUACAGAUGUACGGAAACGACAGAGGAAAGAAGGGCAAAAUUAGCUGUGUGGCUGGCUUCCAAGGGCAAGACUCUAAAGAGACCGGCUAUGACAAGCACACGCACAGAAACA
This is a long non-coding RNA of Hippocampus comes (tiger tail seahorse), 762 nucleotides long. RefSeq lists it as uncharacterized. NCBI's taxonomy places the organism in Eukaryota, Metazoa, Chordata, Actinopteri, Syngnathiformes, Syngnathidae. The transcript is spliced from 2 exons. The record is from RefSeq and is a predicted model, not a curated record.